AGAAUCAACGCUGGCGGCGUGCCUCAGACAUGCAAGUCGAACGAUUAAACUUUCCUUCGGGAAAGAUAUAAAGUGGCGCACGGGUGAGUAACACGUAAGUAAUCUGCCUUCGAGUGGGGGAAUACCUUCGGGAAACCGAAGAUAAUACCGCAUAAUGCAGCGGCACCGCAAGGUGACAGUUGUUAAAGGAGCAAUCCGCUUGAAGAGGAGCUUGCGGCAGAUUAGCUAGUUGGUAAGGUAACGGCUUACCAAGGCUACGAUCUGUAUCCGGUCUAAGAGGACGGUCGGACACACUGACACUGAAUAACGGGUCAGACUCCUACGGGAGGCAGCAGUCGGGAAUUUGGGCAAUGGGCGAAAGCCUGACCCAGCAACGCCGCGUGAAGGAUGAAGUAUUUCGGUAUGUAAAACUUCGAAAGAAUAGGAAGAAUACAAAUGAACGGUAACCAAUUUAAUUAAAGGUACCCGGACUAACUACGUGACCAGCAGCCGC
Molecule: ribosomal RNA, 493 nt
Filed under: uncultured soil bacterium
Lineage: Bacteria
Description: bacterial SSU rRNA
Rfam family: Bacterial small subunit ribosomal RNA
Source: RNAcentral